UGAUGGUAUCUUAAGGCACACAUGUAAUUAAGAUUAAAGAUUUAUCGGUGUACGAUGGGGAUGCGUUCCAUUAGGUAGUAGGCGGGGUAACGGCCCACCUAGCCUACGAUGGAUAGGGGUUCUGGAGAGGAAGGUCCCCCACAUUGGAACUGAGACACGGUCCAAACUCCUACGGGAGGCAGCAGUGAGGAAUAUUGGUCAAUGGACGAGAGUCUGAACCAGCCAAGUAGCGUGAAGGAUGAAGGUCCUACGGAUUGUAAACUUCUUUUAUAAGGGAAUAAAACCUCCCACGUGUGGGAGCUUGUAUGUACCUUAUGAAUAAGCAUCGGCUAACUCCGUG
This 340-nucleotide ribosomal RNA is filed under the name uncultured bacterium. RNAcentral describes it as "bacterial SSU rRNA". It matches the Rfam family "Bacterial small subunit ribosomal RNA", at positions 171 to 507 of the family's 1533-position model. The record is from RNAcentral.